Harpia harpyja (harpy eagle) is the source of this 349-nucleotide long non-coding RNA. RefSeq lists it as uncharacterized. NCBI's taxonomy places the organism in Eukaryota, Metazoa, Chordata, Aves, Accipitriformes, Accipitridae. The transcript has 3 exons. The record is from RefSeq and is a predicted model, not a curated record.
AGCUGUACCGGUGAGCUGUCUGCCAGUGUAGCUGUGGCUCAGGCUUUCCUGUUUGCUUUCAAAAUGGUCUGCAAAUACAUGUUAAUGACACGUCACUGAAGCUACCCUUGAAGCAUAAACACUGUGGAUCAGGAUUUAUGCUUUGUAACUCAAGGCCUGGUACUCUGUACUGAGAAUAACAUCUCGACAUGAAUAAGAGCUUGGUGUCCGCAUGUCAGGUGACUACAGCAUCCUGCCUUCUGCACCACGGGAUUUGUCUCAGAAAGGCAUCUGCAUGGCCUAAUCAAGCAUCUGCAAAAAAUUCAGAUUCCAGGGAUUGUCUUAGAUGAAGAUAUGGCCAACAUCCUCC